Cyanistes caeruleus (blue tit) is the source of this 1061-nucleotide long non-coding RNA. RefSeq lists it as uncharacterized. Lineage: Eukaryota; Metazoa; Chordata; Aves; Passeriformes; Paridae. The record is from RefSeq and is a predicted model, not a curated record.
UGCGGGAAAGGCGGGAUCGGGGAAAGAGAGCAGCAGCUGCUGAGGGUCUGGGGCAGGGGUGUGUUUGGGUGCUUGGGCCUGUCUGUGAAUAUUUUCACGCCGUUUCACUGACACGGUUUAAUGUUUAAUCGUGGGGCAUUGGGUUUUAGUGGUUAAAGGUAGGGAAUUUAAUUGAAAAUGUGCAAAUGACCGUGUUUUCCAUGGUCUGGAAUGGUGCCUACAGGUGGAAGUGUGGUUGCACUGACACCCCGAAGCUUUCGGCUUCGUCCCCCUGCACCAUCCAUCUGCUACAUCUCAGCAGGGAUUUUAUCGAGGAGCUGCCACACAGGCGUCGGUCAGGGCUUUGGGAGGCUUAGCUGAAGUUUUUUGAUAGGCAUGAAAGUCAUUUAGGUCUUGGACACAGAGCAGAAUAGGUUUGUAAUGGUUUAUUUUAAUACUGGACUCGAAUAUACAGUCGCUGAUUAAAGGAGGAGCAAGAGCCAUAAAGCUCUGCACACAUCAGUGAGCUGGGCUGGAACAUCUGUCCAAGGGUCAGAAGGGUGUUCUUGGAGUGAGUGCCUGCUAACACGCUUGGGAAGUCUAAGUUGUGGUUUUCAAGGAAUCUGCUUUCAUCCUUCACCUGGGUGUAACUGUUUGGCUCUCGAAAAUGAAUACUUCAAUACUCUGCACUUACAAAGCCUACGAUGGUUGAAGGCAUGUAUUGCAAAAGUGGAGUGUCCAGAUUUUAAAACAGAUUUGUUUUGGCUGUGGGCUUGUCUACCAUCCAUGGAGAUCUGUGCUAGUGAAAACAGAUGUGGAAGCUGUCUGUGCAGAGGGUGAACUGAGGAGCCUAUGCAGUCAUGCUGGAACAACGUGGACGCUUGGUUCCCUGGGGACAUGAGCAGCACAACGUGAAGGACCCGCUUAGUCACAACCAACUGUUCUGGAAGUGACUUUUCUGACUCCACAGAGUCAUUUGGUUUUUAAUAAAAAAAUACAGUGCUUUAAAAUUGUAAUUACACUUGAGGAAACUGCAUUUGAUUCAGGGAUAUUAUGGAAGCAAUAAAGAGAUUUAAAAGAAA